AGGUGGAAAGACUAUCUCCCAUUUGGACAGUGGAGGCGUCGGACUCGUUUCAUUGCUUUCAAAGUUCCUUUAAAAAAGAAUGUUGAAAAGAAUCUUGCUCCAGAAGAAUGUUUUUCCCCCUUGGAUCUUGUUUAACAAACUCCAAGAACACAACAAAGAACUUUAGCUGAUUAUUGACUUAACAUAUACUCGCCGCUAUUAUAAGCCAGAGGUAAAUGGAACCCGUAAUUGAAAAUGACCUUCUUUCUGAUACUGUAAUAAUUCAUAGUAAUUCAGUAGUUAUCAACUUAUGCUAAGGUAAAUCCUGGCCUUAUUUCAUGGGUUCAAAAAGGGAAGCUAGUGGUUUCCUUAAAUACACAUUUGUAAUUGCUGUUUCAAAAUGAGAUUAAAGAUAUGAAUUGAACUAUAGUAUUUGGCAGUAGGCUCUAGAUAUGCUUAAGAAAUUCUAUAAGCUUCCAUGUUCUAUAUUUUGAAAAUGAAGUAAACUUUUAGUAAGAAUAGUAGUAGCCUAAAAGGAAAGAAAGGGUAUGUCCUUUAUGUCUUUAGCACUUAUUUUAAGCAGUUGCCUGAGCAUGUUUAAGCAUCGGGGUAAAAGACAAUUGUUCUCUAAGUUUUAUGCUUUCUUUUUCUAAUACCUUCUGAUAUAGUACAGAAACCCAUAUAUUCUCUUGGCCCAUAUAAGACAUACCAGUGCAAAGGAAUUAUCCUUCUUCUGACCUGUUCCAUGGCCUUGGGAGACAGUAACACCUAAUGUUUGUUAAUAUUUGUAUAGCAGUUUGCCAUUUAGAAAGUUCUUUCAUAUCCAUUGACUUUGUUAAUCUUCACAACAGUCCUUUGCUAUUGAAGUGGAAGUAGUACUGAUAUCUCCUACUGAGUGCUUGCUCUGCACUAAGCUCAGAGGAUAGGCAGCUACAAUUACUAUUUUUACGGACUAGGAAACUGACUCUCAGACAAGGAAGGAUUGAAAUUUCAACUCAGUUAUUCCUCUUUUUUUAUUGUGGUAAAAUAUACAUAAAUCAUAUUUCUUUUAACCAUUUAUAAAUAUGCAGUUCAGUGGCAUUAACUACAGUCACAGUGUUGUGUAACCAUCACCGCUGUCUAUAACCAAAACUUUUUCAUCCUCCUCAACAAAAACUCUUUAACCAUCAAACAGUAACAACCCUAUUAUCCCUCCCACCGGCCCUUAGAAACCUCUAUUCUAUUUUCUGCCUCUAUGAAUUUGCCUAUUCUAGGUACCUUGUUUAAGUGGAAUCUACAAUAUUUGUCCUUUUAUGUCUGGCUUAUUUCACUAAACCUAGUGUUUUCAAGGUUCAUCCAUGUUAUAACAUGUAACAAAAUGCCAUUCCUUUUUUGGCUUAAUAAAUCCCACUGUGUGUAUAUAC
Molecule: non-coding RNA, 1382 nt
Organism: Delphinapterus leucas (beluga whale)
Lineage: Eukaryota; Metazoa; Chordata; Mammalia; Artiodactyla; Monodontidae
Source: RefSeq, a predicted model, not a curated record